Molecule: ribosomal RNA, 492 nt
Filed under: uncultured bacterium
Lineage: Bacteria
Description: partial 16S ribosomal RNA
Rfam family: Bacterial small subunit ribosomal RNA
Source: RNAcentral
AGUGAACGCUGGCGGUAGGCCUAACACAUGCAAGUCGAACGGCAGCACAGUAAGAGCUUGCUCUUACGGGUGGCGAGUGGCGGACGGGUGAGGAAUACAUCGGAAUCUACUUUUUCGUGGGGGAUAACGUAGGGAAACUUACGCUAAUACCGCAUACGACCUACGGGUGAAAGCAGGGGAUCUUCGGACCUUGCGCGAUUGAAUGAGCCGCUGUCGGAUUAGCUAGUUGGCGGGGUAAAGGCCCACCAAGGCGACGAUCCGUAGCUGGUCUGAGAGGAUGAUCAGCCACACUGGAACUGAGACACGGUCCAGACUCCUACGGGAGGCAGCAGUGGGGAAUAUUGGACAAUGGGCGCAAGCCUGAUCCAGCCAUACCGCGUGGGUGAAGAAGGCCUUCGGGUUGUAAAGCCCUUUUGCUGGGAAAGAAAAGCAGCAGGUUAAUACCCCGCUGUUCUGACGGUACCCAAAGAAUAAGCACCGGCUAACUUCGUG